Molecule: ribosomal RNA, 460 nt
Filed under: uncultured bacterium
Lineage: Bacteria
Description: partial 16S ribosomal RNA
Rfam family: Bacterial small subunit ribosomal RNA
Source: RNAcentral
CCUACGGGCGGCAGCAGUGAGGAAUAUUGGUCAAUGGACGAGAGUCUGAACCAGCCAAGUAGCGUGAAGGAUGACUGCCCUAUGGGUUGUAAACUUCUUUUAUAUGGGAAUAAAAUGUUCCACGUGUGGGAUUUUGUAUGUACCAUAUGAAUAAGGAUCGGCUAACUCCGUGCCAGCAGCCGCGGUAAUACGGAGGAUCCGAGCGUUAUCCGGAUUUUUUGGGUUUAAAGGGAGCGUAGGUGGAUUGUUAAGUCAGUUGUGAAAGUUUGCGGGCCAACCGUAAAAUUGCAGUUGAAACUGGCAGUCUUGAGUACAGUAGAGGUGGGCGGAAUGCGUGGUGUAGCGGUGAAAUGCUUAGAUAUCACGAAGAAUUCCGAUUGCGAAGGCAGCUCACUGGACUGCAACUGACACUGAGGCUCGAAAGUGUGGGUAUCAAACAGGAUUAGAUACCCCAGUAGUC